GCCAGCAUAGCGCAGUGGUUUGAGUGUUGGACUACCACUCUGGAGACCUGGGUUUGAUUCCUCACUGUGUCA
RNAcentral lists this transfer RNA (72 nucleotides) under Phrynosoma platyrhinos (Desert horned lizard). Its description in RNAcentral is "tRNA-OTHER". Lineage: Eukaryota; Metazoa; Chordata; Lepidosauria; Squamata; Phrynosomatidae. The record is from RNAcentral.